AAAACUAUUUAGGGAGAAAAUUUAUAUUUACGUAUUAUAAAUAUAAAUCGCGUGUAUGUCAAAAGGGAAACAGCCCAGAACAAGAGUUAAGGUUCCAAAAUUUAUAGUUGAGUGAAAUUAAGAAAGUUUCUAUUUAAGCCGACAAGGAGAUGGGCUUAGAAGCAGCCAUAAUUUAAUGAUCUCGUAAAAGAGCACUUGUUAAAUCUUUAGAAGCAUCGAAAAUUCAACGGAUCUAAACUAUAUACCGACACCUUGUCCAUUUAUAUUAUUAUAUCAUUAUAAUUGUAUAGUAAGGGGUA
RNAcentral lists this non-coding RNA (299 nucleotides) under Ceratocystis platani. RNAcentral describes it as "Bacterial large subunit ribosomal RNA". It matches the Rfam family "Bacterial large subunit ribosomal RNA", at positions 862 to 1230 of the family's 2925-position model. Lineage: Eukaryota; Fungi; Ascomycota; Sordariomycetes; Microascales; Ceratocystidaceae. The record is from Rfam by way of RNAcentral.